RNAcentral lists this long non-coding RNA (269 nucleotides) under Lathyrus oleraceus (garden pea). RNAcentral describes it as "Pisum sativum (pea) long non-coding RNA (PSAT_LNC020987)". The record is from RNAcentral. Lineage: Eukaryota; Viridiplantae; Streptophyta; Magnoliopsida; Fabales; Fabaceae.
AAAAAUGCAAACUCUAUACCAAAAUGUUCAUUAGGAUGUAUACUUUAAGCAUGAAAAAUUUCAAGAGUGUUGGAUAAAAUCUCAUCAUUUCACAAUCAAAAUGGCAACCAAGGUACAAGAUAGCACAUGUACAGACAAUCCCUAGCCAAAAUUAAAAUCCAUGCAUGCACAAAUUCUGGAAAAAUCAUCAAAAAAAAGUAGAGAUCAUGAGGAAAACAAUGAAAAAAAACUCAUCUCAUUUGGACAAUCCAUCAAUGAGUUAUGGAUUU